This 468-nucleotide ribosomal RNA is filed under the name uncultured bacterium. RNAcentral's name for it is "partial 16S ribosomal RNA". It matches the Rfam family "Bacterial small subunit ribosomal RNA", at positions 28 to 507 of the family's 1533-position model. The record is from RNAcentral.
GACGAACGCUGGCGGCGUGCUUAACACAUGCAAGUCGAACGGAAACGCCCUGCUUUUGUGGGGUGCUCGGGUGGCGAACGGGUGAGUAACACGUGAGUAACCUGCCCUUGACUUUGGGAUAACUUCAGGAAACUGGGGCUAAUACCGGAUAGGAGCUCCUGCUGCAUGGUGGGGGUUGGAAAGUUUCGGCGGUUGGGGAUGGACUCGCGGCUUAUCAGCUUGUUGGUGGGGUAGUGGCUUACCAAGGCUUUGACGGGUAGCCGGCCUGAGAGGGUGACCGGCCACAUUGGGACUGAGAUACGGCCCAGACUCCUACGGGAGGCAGCAGUGGGGAAUAUUGCACAAUGGGCGGAAGCCUGAUGCAGCAACGCCGCGUGCGGGAUGACGGCCUUCGGGUUGUAAACCGCUUUCGCCUGUGACGAAGCGUGAGUGACGGUAAUGGGUAAAGAAGCACCGGCUAACUACGUG